UACGUAGGGUGCUAGCGUUGUCCGGAAUCAUUGGGCGUAAAGCGCGUGUAGGCGGCCCGGUAAGUCCGCUGUGAAAGUCGGGGGCUCAACCCUCGAAAGCCGGUGGAUACUGUCGGGCUCGAGUACGGAAGAGGCGAGUGGAAUUCCUGGUGUAGCGGUGAAAUGCGCAGAUAUCAGGAGGAACACCAAUUGCGAAGGCAGCUCGCUGGGACGUUACUGACGCUGAGACGCGAAAGCGUGGGGAGCAAACAGG
This 253-nucleotide ribosomal RNA is filed under the name uncultured bacterium. Its description in RNAcentral is "partial 16S ribosomal RNA". It matches the Rfam family "Bacterial small subunit ribosomal RNA", at positions 524 to 776 of the family's 1533-position model. The record is from RNAcentral.